RNAcentral lists this long non-coding RNA (1055 nucleotides) under Gossypium barbadense (sea-island cotton). RNAcentral describes it as "long non-coding RNA (GBAR_LNC018577)". The record is from RNAcentral. Lineage: Eukaryota; Viridiplantae; Streptophyta; Magnoliopsida; Malvales; Malvaceae.
GAUAGUGGAACAAGAUAUGCUACUCUCCCAUUUAUCUAGUGAGGAGGCUAGUAAUAUCAGCGCAAAAGUUGAUGACUAAAGAUAUGAUUCAAGUUCAUCGAGUUUGACUAAUCAGAGAAUUCAUAACUACAAAUUCAUCCACUCAACUUGGUGUCUUUUUAAAGAAGCUUUACUUAGAUUGCUAACUUAAUUUCACUUUGCUCAAUUCAUAAUCAAUGGUGCAAAUACAGGUGUCUUGGUAAUUAGUUGUAUCUAGUAAACUCUUUUAAAAGUCAAAUUUUGCAUUCAGCUCUAUGGAAACACUUCCGUUCCUCAAAAACACACUUACCACGCUUAGCACAACCUUGGACGUUUACCAUCCUUAAGCUCACAAUCAGUCCAGUUACAAUCGAAUUGAUUGGGAGGGAUCCAUAUAAUCAACAAUUUUACUCCAAAUGUAGAAUUCCUCUACCUCUAAAGUAAGAAAAAAAAGAGGUACUGUGCAUUUGAAUUCCUCGAAAAACAUGACAUUCUAGAUGAUUCUUCUUCUUCUUCUUUAGUUUAGAAGACAACAGCAUCAACUGUUCAGUUGGCCUUGAUGGACGGUUCAAUACCAUGUUAGACUCUUAAGGGAGAUCUACAAAGCAGAUGAACAUAGCGUAGAGAGUGAGAAAGAAGGUGGAUAUGCCCCUCAGAGUGAGUUCAGUUCCACAAUGAAGCAUUCAGAAAUUGGAACGACUUGCAGCAUUUCAUACUCAUCACCGGAGCCCUUCAAAUACAGAUUCUCUUUUACCAACAACAAAAGAAGAACCAUAAAUACUCGCAAACUUAGAGACAAGGGUAAUGCCUAGUCGCCGGCUACUACUUGUGAUUAGGGUUUCAGUUCUGUUUUUAAACAAAGGACGAGGAUGGGGGUUGGGGUUGGGGCCUUUAGGCUUUCCUCCGUAGGGCUGGCCCACAAGGCCCAAUUACCUUGAAAUUUGUAUAUUGAGGGUAGCCUCACAUACAUUACUGGUAUUACUCUCCAAUAGAAAUUAGAUUUCUUACAUCCAUAGAAGACUCGAGAAACAGAUCCC